GAUGAACGCUGGCGGCGUGCCUAAUACAUGCAAGUCGAGCGAACGGACGAGAAGCUUGCUUUUCUGAUGUUAGCGGCGGACGGGUGAGUAACACGUGGAUAACCUACCUAUAAGACUGGGAUAACUUCGGGAAACCGGAGCUAAUACCGGAUAAUAUUUUGAACCGCAUGGUUCAAAAGUGAAAGACGGUCUUGCUGUCACUUAUAGAUGGAUCCGCGCUGCAUUGGCUAGUUGGUAAGGUAACGGCUUACCAAGGCAACGAUGCAUAGCCGACCUGAGAGGGUGAUCGGCCACACUGGAACUGAGACACGGUCCAGACUCCUACGGGAGGCAGCAGUAGGGAAUCUUCCGCAAUGGGCGAAAGCCUGACGGAGCAACGCCGCGUGAGUGAUGAAGGUCUUCGGAUCGUAAAACUCUGUUAUUAGGGAAGAACAUAUGUCUAAGUAACUGUGCACAUCUUGACGGUACCUAAUCAGAAAGCCACGGCUAACUACGUG
Molecule: ribosomal RNA, 497 nt
Filed under: uncultured bacterium
Lineage: Bacteria
Description: partial 16S ribosomal RNA
Rfam family: Bacterial small subunit ribosomal RNA
Source: RNAcentral